CAUAACUUGCCAACCAUACAUGAGAAAUUCAUGUUCUUGGACUUUUUGGAAAGGUGAGAGCAAGAUCUACAACUUUCAUGUUGAACAAAAUUUCAUUUGAAGCAUUUUUGGACACGUAAUUUUGAGGAGGAAAACUUUCCAUUUUUGGCAGUUUUCAAUUACAAGUCACUUUCUAUUUUUGGAAAGUUUCCAUCUGAUUU
This 200-nucleotide long non-coding RNA is filed under the name Lathyrus oleraceus (garden pea). RNAcentral describes it as "Pisum sativum (pea) long non-coding RNA (PSAT_LNC040589)". Lineage: Eukaryota; Viridiplantae; Streptophyta; Magnoliopsida; Fabales; Fabaceae. The record is from RNAcentral.